ACGGAAGGCAGCAGUGGGGAAUAUUGCACAAUGGGCGCAAGCCUGAUGCAGCGACGCCGCGUGAGCGAAGAAGUAUUUCGGUAUGUAAAGCUCUAUCAGCAGGGAAGAUAAUGACGGUACCUGACUAAGAAGCACCGGCUAAAUACGUGCCAGCAGCCGCGGUAAUACGUAUGGUGCAAGCGUUAUCCGGAUUUACUGGGUGUAAAGGGGGCGUAGGCGGUCAUGCAAGUCUGAUGUGAAAACCCGGGGCUCAACUUCGGGAUUGCAUUGGAAACUGUAAGACUAGAGUGUCGGAGGGGUAAGUGGAAUUCCUAGUGUAGCGGUGAAAUGCGUAGAUAUUAGGAGGAACACCAGUGGCGAAGGCGGCUUACUGGACGAUUACUGACGCUGAGGCUCGAAAGCGUGGGGAGCAAACAGGAUUAGAUACCCUGGUA
RNAcentral lists this ribosomal RNA (434 nucleotides) under uncultured Pseudobutyrivibrio sp. RNAcentral describes it as "partial 16S ribosomal RNA". It matches the Rfam family "Bacterial small subunit ribosomal RNA", at positions 341 to 792 of the family's 1533-position model. The record is from RNAcentral. Lineage: Bacteria; Bacillati; Bacillota; Clostridia; Lachnospirales; Lachnospiraceae.